Molecule: long non-coding RNA, 628 nt
Filed under: Manacus vitellinus (golden-collared manakin)
Lineage: Eukaryota; Metazoa; Chordata; Aves; Passeriformes; Pipridae
Description: lncRNA (ENSMVIG00005016681.1)
Source: RNAcentral
CUGCCUGUUCUCCCCCCUUCCCUGCCCACAGGUCUUCCUGGGGGGCAGCAUUGCCAGGGGGGGCCCUGUGACUGUGCUGGAGGACAAGGAGCUGCAGUGUCAGCCAGAGCCCUUUGUCAUCCAGGGCAAGAAGGUUCCAGGUGGGCCUCAGAUGCUGCAGCUGAGCUUGGAUGGGAAGAGGUUGUACGUCACCAACUCCCUGUACAGCGGCUGGGACAAGCAGUUCUACCCCGACCUGCUCCGCGCCUGUUUGCUCGUGCCUUUGGCAGGGAAGGCUCUGUCCUGCUGCAGAUCGACGUGGACACCGAGAGAGGGGGGCUGGCAGUGAACCCAAACUUCCUGGUGGAUUUUGGGAAGGAGCCGGACGGGCCAGCGCUGGCCCACGAGAUGAGAUACCCUGGGGGGGACUGCACCUCGGACAUCUGGCUCUGACCAUCCUCCUGGGGCUGCUCCAUCCCCUCCCAGAGCUUCCCAAACCUUCCCUUCCUCACCAGGAGGAUCAGGGCCCCUGGAGCUUUGCCCGCUGUCUGAAUUCAGAUUUCUCCUCCUGAACUCUCACUUCCAUCUCAUUCCUGUGUCCCUGCACCGAUGCCACAAAAAAUCAGCAAUAAAAUCACCCUUCAGCUCA